GACAGAGGGGGCAAGCGUUGCUCGGAAUUACUGGGCGUAAAGGGCGCGUAGGCGGGAUGGCAAGUCGGUCGUGAAAUCCUUCGGCUCAACCGAAGAACGUCGAUCGAUACUGCUGUUCUUGAGGGUUGCAGAGGAGACUGGAAUUCCCGGUGUAGCGGUGAAAUGCGCAGAUAUCGGGAGGAACACCGGUGGCGAAGGCGGUUCUCUGGGCCUUACCUGACGCUGAGGAGCGAAAGCGUGGGGAGCGAACAGG
This 253-nucleotide ribosomal RNA is filed under the name uncultured bacterium. RNAcentral's name for it is "partial 16S ribosomal RNA". It matches the Rfam family "Bacterial small subunit ribosomal RNA", at positions 524 to 776 of the family's 1533-position model. The record is from RNAcentral.